CGAUAAAAAGAAUCCGAUCCAAAAAGGCACACAAUCCGACGUCGCUGUUUGUUUGUUUGCCCCGCCGCUGUCAGUGGUGGCACGAAGCCGCUGUCAGUGUCACUGCGGCCUUCGUCGCGUCUGCGCCCUUGGUGGCAAAGGAAAAGUUUUGAAAGUACCACGCAAUCACAAUUGCGGAACUCCCGCACACCGACUCAAUGCCGCCGCCGUCGUCGUCGUGCCACCUUUGCGUGUGUUUGGCGGCAUAAUUUUCCGCGAGAGAGACAACAGCAGCAGCACGCUCGCUCUCUACCAGGCGCAUGCGACGGCCUCGACGACCAUCGUGCGAGGGCUCUCCCUGCCGCUCGGGAUGCUCCCCUGGUCGAGCGCGAAAUUGAAAUUGAUCACUCCAGAAUCGACCGCGCGCACACGCACGACGCGCGACCACUGCGGAAACGCUUUCUUCGCCGAGCCAGCUAGACUAACCGCCGACCUGCCGCGGUGGCUGCGCUCCUGGCCAUAAAAGGAACCUAGAACGGCACAGUCUCGGUGCGCGAAACUGCGAAACUCUCUUCUCGGGCCCCCAGGGUCGGGGUGAACUGGCGAAGCGCCCGGUUGCCAGCAGCUCGUGGCAGGACGCGUUCGAGGGCAAUCUUUUACGGUUUAUGCGGUUCCGGUGAAGUUGUAGCGUGAAAGUUAGAUGUUAAAAAAUCAACAAAAACCAGCAUUAUUAAUUAGCGAUCGGAAGUAUCCGAAUAAUGGCCAUAACAUAAACAAACCGAGCGCACACGACCCCCGAACAGACUCGUCGCAACAUCGUUUGGCCGCACUGCCAUCACCAGCACCCAUGAAGCAAUCGCCGCAGCCUGCCUUGUCAAUCAGCUCCGUGCAAUCGGAAAUGGAUGGAAAAAUGGCGCGAAACCGGCUGCUCGCCUGCUGCCUACCUGCUAAAUCGCUGACAGCCGCAUACUUUUUCUGCCCGAAUCCUGCCUGCGUUGUACGAGUGUGAUGCGACGAUGCCGCGCGCAACCACGUGUGCUGGCCGAGAGAGAGCUGCGUCAGGGCAAAAUUACGGCAACACCGCACAGCGGCUCGAGAAGGCCCCCGCGGGUGCGCACCUCUGCCGGGCAUGGGCGCCCGGUCGUUGGGGACUCGUUGUUGAUGGCGUAACAUUUUCGCUCUUUCUCUACACACCACGUCACGUCGGGCGGCAUCGAUCGCGUCGGCCCGUUCGACUACGCGCGCAAAUUCGUGGGGCGCAUGGAGCACUGCCUAAUGGAAAAACGCAGCUCCUCCUCUGCAUGCUGUUCAGGUUUAGCGAGCGGAUUACACAAAGCGAUAAGAAUAGCGUUACCAUUGGCAGAUUACUCCACAUUACAUCGUUACACCGACGCUAUCCAGGUUGAGCACACCGGGCGAUAAGAUAACAAAAGCUGACUGACGCGUUGUACUCGAUAACAGAAAGACUGCUGUGCGACAAAUCUUGCAUAAAAUCUCCCACUCACUCAAACACACCAAAAGCAGCUCCACUAGAGAGCAACGCACAUAAUUUGCAUCAUAAAGCACAACUUAACCAUAGGCAAGAUGUUUAUUCAGGAGCAAUUUCCCCAUUAUUUACAUUCCCUUGCGCAGUUGCCGACCCCAGCGCUAGCCCUAGCUUCAUCCAUUGUCCCGUCGACCCAUAGAAUGCGUUAAAAAAAUGACAAAUAAAUAUAACAAACAAGGAAAUCAA
This is a long non-coding RNA of Anopheles coluzzii, 1711 nucleotides long. RefSeq lists it as uncharacterized. The transcript has 2 exons. Lineage: Eukaryota; Metazoa; Arthropoda; Insecta; Diptera; Culicidae. The record is from RefSeq and is a predicted model, not a curated record.